CGUUAUGUGCCAGAGGAUGGGGCUGCGGCCGAUCAGGCCGUUGGCGAGGUAACGGCUCACCAAACCUUUGACCGGUACGGGCCAUGAGAGUGGUAGCCCGGAGAUGGACACUGAGAUAGGGGUCCAGGCCCUACGGGGCGCAGCAGGCGCGAAAACUCCACACUGUACGUAAGUACGAUGGGGUUACCUCGAGUGUAGUCUGUAAAAGAUUGCUUUUCCAUAGAGUAAUAUCCUGUGGGAAUAAGAGGGGGGCAAGACUGGUGUCAGCCGCCGCGGUAACACCAGCCCCUCGAGUGGUAGGGACUUUUAUUUGGCCUAAAGCGUUCGUAGCCGUCUGUAACCGUUGCCCGUUAAAUCCAGCGUCUCAAGCGUUGGACUGCGGGCGAUACCUUACAGAUUGAGGGUGGGAUAGGUAAGCGGUAUUUCUGGGGUAGGGGCGAAAUCCUUUGAUCCCAGGAGGACCACCAGUGGCGAAGGCUGCUUACUAGAACACGCCUGACGGUCAGGAACGAAAGCUGGGGUAGCGAACCGGAUUAGAUACCCGGGUAGUCCCAGCUGUAAACGAUGCGCGCUAGGUGUUGGGUCGGCCAUGCGCCGCCCCAGUGCCGCAGGGAAGCCGUUAAGCGCGCCGCCUGGGGAGUACGGCCGCAAGGCUGAAACUUAAAGGAAUUGGCGGGGGAGCAC
This 684-nucleotide ribosomal RNA is filed under the name uncultured archaeon. Its description in RNAcentral is "bacterial SSU rRNA". It matches the Rfam family "Archaeal small subunit ribosomal RNA", at positions 194 to 879 of the family's 1478-position model. The record is from RNAcentral.